Molecule: ribosomal RNA, 463 nt
Filed under: uncultured bacterium
Lineage: Bacteria
Description: partial 16S ribosomal RNA
Rfam family: Bacterial small subunit ribosomal RNA
Source: RNAcentral
GAUGAACGCUGACAGAAUGCUUAACACAUGCAAGUCGAUGGGGAAGUGGUGCUUGCACCAUGGCAACCAUGGCGGACGGGUGAGCAACGCGUAAGGGACUUACCUGCAGGACUGGGAUAACAGGGGGAAACUCCUGACAAGACCGGAUAAUGUCAUGGAGCUGCAUGGCUUUAUGAUGAAAGGAGACGCCUGCGGAGAGCCUUGCGUCCUAUUAGCUAGUUGGUGAGGUAAUGGCUCACCAAGGCGAAGAUAGGUAGCCGGCCUGAGAGGGUGGACGGCCACAAGGGGACUGAGAUACGGCCCUUACUCCUACGGGAGGCAGCAGUGGGGAAUAUUGGACAAUGGGGGCAACCCUGAUCCAGCAAUUCUGUGUGCACGAAGAAGGUUUUCGGAUUGUAAAGUGCUUUCAGCAGGGAAGAAGUAAGUGACGGUACCUGCAGAAGAAGCGACGGCUAAAUACGUG